This is a long non-coding RNA of Larimichthys crocea (large yellow croaker), 261 nucleotides long. RefSeq lists it as uncharacterized. Lineage: Eukaryota; Metazoa; Chordata; Actinopteri; Sciaenidae. The transcript has 3 exons. The record is from RefSeq and is a predicted model, not a curated record.
CAGUCCAAUGCAAAAGACGGAAACAACUGCUGCCAACCCUAAAGACAAAUGGAUUCUCAUUAUUAGUACGGAGGACUGAAAGAUCACGGUACAGAGUGAAGGAAGCUCGACGCUGUAGAGUGAUUUUGAUCAGUCCAACACAAAACUGGAAAUGCAAGGUUCUCAGGAACAUUCCUCAGAUGCAGAAUAAAAGAAGCUCAACACUGUAGAAUGGUUUUGAUGACAAAACUGGAACUUCAAGCUUCUCUAACAAGAACAUUC